This 202-nucleotide unclassified non-coding RNA is filed under the name Hevea brasiliensis (rubber tree). The record is from RNAcentral. Lineage: Eukaryota; Viridiplantae; Streptophyta; Magnoliopsida; Malpighiales; Euphorbiaceae.
GCAUUAGAGAUAAAAUUUAGGGAUUAAAUUAAUAAUUUCUUCACUCUUUGUUCCCUCCGACUCCGAGUGUCUGUCCUUAGUGAAAAAAAAAGAAAGUAUCUGCCCUUCGCUGUCGCCGCUUUCCUCUGGCGAGUUGAGUAACUCUAGCCUCCACUCCUUAUCCUUCUCUAUCUUUUCUUCCCAUGUCCUCGCUUCUUUGCAA